AUUGAACGCUGGCGGCAUGCCUUACACAUGCAAGUCGAACGGCAGCACGGGUGCUUGCACCUGGUGGCGAGUGGCGAACGGGUGAGUAAUACAUCGGAACAUGUCCUGUAGUGGGGGAUAGCCCGGCGAAAGCCGGAUUAAUACCGCAUACGAUCUACGGAUGAAAGCGGGGGACCUUCGGGCCUCGCGCUCUAGGGUUUGCCGGUGGCUGAUUAGCUAGUUGGUGGGGUAAAGGCCUACCAAGGCGACGAUCAGUAGCUGGUCUGAGAGGACGACCAGCCACACUGGGACUGAGACACGGCCCAGACUCCUACGGGAGGCAGCAGUGGGGAAUUUUGGACAAUGGGCGAAAGCCUGAUCCAGCAAUGCCGCGUGUGUGAAGAAGGCCUUCGGGUUGUAAAGCACUUUUGUCCGGAAAGAAAUCCUUGGCCCUAAUACGGUCGGGGGAUGACGGUACCGGAAGAAUAAGCACCGGCUAACUACGUG
This 486-nucleotide ribosomal RNA is filed under the name uncultured bacterium. RNAcentral's name for it is "partial 16S ribosomal RNA". It matches the Rfam family "Bacterial small subunit ribosomal RNA", at positions 30 to 507 of the family's 1533-position model. The record is from RNAcentral.